CCUACGGGCGGCUGCAGUGGGGAAUAUUGGACAAUGGGCGAAAGCCUGAUCCAGCCAUGCCGCGUGUGUGAAGAAGGCCUUCGGGUUGUAAAGCACUUUCAGUGGGGAAGAAAGCCUUGGGGCUAAUACCCUCGAGGAAGGACAUCACCCACAGAAGAAGCACCGGCUAACUCCGUGCCAGCAGCCGCGGUAAUACGGAGGGUGCGAGCGUUAAUCGGAAUUACUGGGCGUAAAGCGCGCGUAGGCGGUCUGAUAAGCCGGUUGUGAAAGCCCCGGGCUCAACCUGGGAACGGCAUCCGGAACUGUCAGGCUAGAGUGCAGGAGAGGAAGGUAGAAUUCCCGGUGUAGCGGUGAAAUGCGUAGAGAUCGGGAGGAAUACCAGUGGCGAAGGCGGCCUUCUGGACUGACACUGACGCUGAGGUGUGAAAGCGUGGGUAGCAAACAGGAUUAGAUACCCUUGUAGUC
Molecule: ribosomal RNA, 465 nt
Filed under: Vreelandella stevensii
Lineage: Bacteria; Pseudomonadati; Pseudomonadota; Gammaproteobacteria; Oceanospirillales; Halomonadaceae
Description: partial 16S ribosomal RNA
Rfam family: Bacterial small subunit ribosomal RNA
Source: RNAcentral